GAUGAACGCUGGCGGCGUGCCUAAUACAUGCAAGUCGAGCGAACGGACGAGAAGCUUGCUUCUCUGAUGUUAGCGGCGGACGGGUGAGUAACACGUGGAUAACCUACCUAUAAGACUGGGAUAACUUCGGGAAACCGGAGCUAAUACCGGAUAAUAUUUUGAACCGCAUGGUUCAAAAGUGAAAGACGGUCUUGCUGUCACUUAUAGAUGGAUCCGCGCUGCAUUAGCUAGUUGGUAAGGUAACGGCUUACCAAGGCAACGAUGCAUAGCCGACCUGAGAGGGUGAUCGGCCACACUGGAACUGAGACACGGUCCAGACUCCUAAGGGAGGCAGCAGUAGGGAAUCUUCCGCAAUGGGAGAAAGCCUGACGGAGCAACGCCGCGUGAGUGAUGAAGGUCUUCGGAUCGUAAAACUCUGUUAUUAGGGAAGAACAUAUGUGUAAGUAACUGUGCACAUCUUGACGGUACCUAAUCAGAAAGCCACGGCUAACUACGUG
RNAcentral lists this ribosomal RNA (497 nucleotides) under uncultured bacterium. RNAcentral describes it as "partial 16S ribosomal RNA". It matches the Rfam family "Bacterial small subunit ribosomal RNA", at positions 28 to 507 of the family's 1533-position model. The record is from RNAcentral.